CCUUACCAGGACUUGACAUCCUCUGCAUUACUCGUAACUGAGGAAAUCCUUCGGGACAGAGAGACAGGUGGUGCAUGGUUGUCGUCAGCUCGUGUCGUGAGAUGUUGGGUUAAGUCCCGCAACGAGCGCAACCCUUAUCCUUAGUUGCUAACAGUAAGAUGAGCACUCUAGGGAGACUGCCGGGGACAACUCGGAGGAAGGUGGGGAUGACGUCAAAUCAUCAUGCCCCUUAUGUUCUGGGCUACACACGUGCUACAAUGGGUAUAACAACGGGAAGCAAGCUGGUGACAGUAAGCAAAUCCCUAAAAAGUACUCUCAGUUCAGAUUGUAGGCUGCAACUCGCCUACAUGAAGUUGGAGUGCUAGUAAUCGCGAAU
This 376-nucleotide ribosomal RNA is filed under the name Gracilibacter sp. KF-2016-I. RNAcentral's name for it is "bacterial SSU rRNA". It matches the Rfam family "Bacterial small subunit ribosomal RNA", at positions 969 to 1349 of the family's 1533-position model. The record is from RNAcentral. Lineage: Bacteria; Bacillati; Bacillota; Clostridia; Eubacteriales; Gracilibacteraceae.